This 376-nucleotide ribosomal RNA is filed under the name uncultured organism. RNAcentral's name for it is "bacterial SSU rRNA". It matches the Rfam family "Bacterial small subunit ribosomal RNA", at positions 526 to 896 of the family's 1533-position model. The record is from RNAcentral.
CGUAGGACCCAAGCGUUGUCCGGAUUCACUGGGUAUAAAGGGUGCGUAGGCGGUCUUGUGCGUCAGAGGUGAAAUAUCCGGGCUUAACCCGGAGGGUGCCUUUGAUACGGCAGGACUUGAGUGCGAGAGAGGAUGAUGGAAUUCCUGGUGUAGCGGUGAAAUGCGUAGAUAUCAGGAGGAACACCGGUGGCGAAGGCGGUCAUCUGGCUCGUAAACUGACGCUGAGGCACGAAAAGCGCGGGGAUCAAAACAGGAUUAGAUACCCUGGUAGUCCGCGCCCUAAACGAAUGUAUGCUUGGUGUUGGUUCCGCAAGGAAUCAGUGCCGUAGGGAAUCUGAUAAAGCAUACCACCUGGGGAGUACGAUCGCAAAGGUUG